AACGCAUAUUGCGCCCUUUGGUAUUCCGAAGGGCAUGCCUGUUCGAGCGUCAUUAUCAUUCAUCAAGCUAGGCUUGUUAUUGGACUUUUUUAUUUAAUCAGUCUUAAAAUUAUUAACAGAAUAAUUAAAUUUUUAAUACAACGAGCUUUUAGCAAGUAUUAAUAUUUAAUUAUUCUUGUUUAAAUAUUUCUUAGGUUGACCUCGAAUCAGGUAGGAAUACCCGCUGAACUUAA
RNAcentral lists this unclassified non-coding RNA (233 nucleotides) under uncultured fungus. RNAcentral describes it as "sequence contains ITS2". The stretch from base 1 to 52 matches the Rfam family "5.8S ribosomal RNA", at positions 103 to 154 of the family's 154-position model. The record is from RNAcentral. Lineage: Eukaryota; Fungi.